This 918-nucleotide long non-coding RNA is filed under the name Brassica rapa (field mustard). RNAcentral's name for it is "long non-coding RNA (BRAP_LNC008221)". The record is from RNAcentral. Lineage: Eukaryota; Viridiplantae; Streptophyta; Magnoliopsida; Brassicales; Brassicaceae.
GAGCUUUAAUAUUACUCAUGGAUUGAACCUGUUGCAUUCAUAUAGCUAAUGCUUUAAGAUUGUGCAUUCAUGUAGUAAUGCAUUUAAAAAUGAGCCUAACUUGCAAAUGUACUGAUAUAAGCUUUGCAUUUAGAGAACUGUAUAGAACUUGCAUUGUCAUUGUUAGAAAUUGAAAUCUGCUUGUCUUGACUCAGUCUAGUUCUGAUUGUUGCUAUGCCAUAGUUAAAUCCAUCAGUGAUGUCUUAUAAGCAUUUAGAAGUAUGUCUAAGCUACUUGAAUCAUUGGCCUUGAUAAAACUAGUGAGCAUAAGCAUGAAUUGAGUCACUCUUGUCGCCUUAAUUGCAGAAGUAUCAUCUAGACUUGUAUUCCAUGUUGGAUUGAAUCUGUUUCAUUCAUAUAGUUAGUGUAACCUAAUGCAUUCAUCUAUUGUUGCAUUUAAAAAAAAAAAAAAAAACUGAAUUGAUUGUCUAGCUUGUUUCAAGUAUCAUAUAUUAUUGUGGCAUUGGUGAUCAAACAGGAUGGAUGAUCUUGGUUUGAUCCCAAUGGGAUGAUCUGAUCUUGCAUUGAGUUUUGGUUGUGUUAGGUACACAAGGGAAGUGAUACAUGUAACUCGCCAUCAACCAAGAAUGUAGAGACAAAGGUCUUGUGCCAUUGCAUAUCAUCACUAGGACAUGUUAGUCCAUAAUCUACAGGAAGUGUAGUGUGAUUGAGUAUGCAAUGAGAGAUAGCCAUUGCAUAAUACCAUUGGACAUAUCUAGUCCUUAGUCUACAGGAAGUGUAGCAUGGGUCAUUAUGCAAUGAGAGGUGUGUCUUGUGAGACUCUCUAUGGUGAUUCAAACACCCUAGUUCCUGGUUAAGGAAGAGAGUAAACUCACAAGAAGAAAGCUAUCAUGAAAGAUGAUAGUUAUUAGACCAUGG